Molecule: ribosomal RNA, 512 nt
Filed under: uncultured bacterium
Lineage: Bacteria
Description: partial 16S ribosomal RNA
Rfam family: Bacterial small subunit ribosomal RNA
Source: RNAcentral
ACUCAAAUGAAUUGACGGGGGCUCGCACAAGCGGUGGAUCAUGUGGUUUAAUUCGACGAUAAACGAAGAACCUUACCGAGGCUAGACAUCCAGACGAAUCUCAGAGGAAACUUUGAGAGCCUUCGGGCGGCUGGACAGGUGAUGCAUGGCUGUCGUCAGUUCGUGGCUUGAGCUGUUCCCUUAAGUGGGGUAACGAACGCAACCCUUAUUGUCUGUUACAAGUGUCAGGCAAGACUGCCCCCCAAGAGCACAUACAAAUUUGUGUGCUGUUGGGGGGGAGGAAGGUGAGGAUGACGCCAAGUCAGCAUAUCCCUCUGAUGCCUCGGGCUACACACGUGAUACAAUGGAUGGUACAACAGGCAGCGACGGAGCGAUCCUGAGCUAAUCCUUAUAAAGCCAUCCUCAGUUCGGAUUGUAGUCUGCAACUCGACUACAUGAAGUUGGAAUCGCUAGUAAUCGCGGGUCAGCAUACCGCGGUGAAUACGUUCUCGAGCCUUGUACACACCGCCCGU